UUAUUAUUAUUAUUAUUAUUUUUGCUGUGCCAGUCUGACUUAUCACAAUUCUGACAGAAUGCUGAGGAAGAUUUUUCAGGUAGAAGCUUGCAGUGAGACAGUGGUGUCUGCACAAAAUAACAGCAGACUAGGAAGUUGAAAAUGCAUACACUAGUAAAUACUGCCUCAUCUAAGGAAUGCCUCAGAAAUACAACAGGCUUACCUGAACAACGUGAACACUUUAGAAAGCCAGUUUGGCAGCUCAGGGAUUAUCUUUAAUCAUUCAAAGAGUCAGGAAGAUGAAAUUUCUCAUAAAUCCUUCUCCCAUGUGGUGUAACUCCUAUGAAACAGGUGUGUGUUUCUGGGGACAGGAAGGAGAAGGAGUUCGCUCACACCUUGCCCUUCAGUGUCGCCUUGGAGCAAAUCAGCAGAAAGCACAGGACUCGCCUGCAUGAGGAAGACAAGUGGCACAGCCUCACCCUGACCUUCAGGAAGCCUUGGUGCAAAUGACACUCCAUUCCCAGGACCUGCUAGGAUCCUCCCCACCAACCACACUGGGAGUUACUCUGUGCACAACAAACAACUGCCAUCCAGCCUGGUGGUGACAGCAGGGCAACCUCGGUUUGGCCAUUUAGGGGCACCACAGGGGCUAUGACACUCAGAUGUUAAACUGAAAAGCAGUAGAAACAGACAUGUAACUCUUUGGGCUCCUUGUAGCCCUCACCUAUUUUUAGUAAAAUUUGUGGAAACGUUUCUGCAUCAUUGCUGUUAUUUGACUAAUAUAUUUUCACUUCCAUUCUGUUUGGAACAAAUAGAUCUGUUUUCCUAACCCAUCACUAAACACAGCCUCGUUGACUCAGGAUGCAAGGCUCAUCACCUUGUACUGGAGGUGGGUCCACGGAUGGAGCUGCACAAGAUACAGCUGAGAAAGCUGCAGAGAUACUGUGGCCCUUUAAUCUCAUUUUAUAUUUCAUCAGUUCCUAAAUAUAUCUAGCAAAAGAAGUACACAAUUUGUAUUGGUUUCUAGUUGCUACUAAAAUGAAGUUCUGGAAGCUCUGGGAAGUUAUUCUGGAUGCUUUUUAUGCGAAGUACUGUUAAUGCAGCAGCUAAAUCCACUUAUAAACUGAAUAUUUCUUCCUUAGCAAUACAUAAAGAAAGUCCCAUAAUUCUUAUACAAGGAGAAGAAAUAUAUCUGUGAAAGCCACACCCUAAACAAAGCACUGUUG
RNAcentral lists this long non-coding RNA (1205 nucleotides) under Anas platyrhynchos (mallard). RNAcentral describes it as "lncRNA (ENSAPLG00020011087.1)". Lineage: Eukaryota; Metazoa; Chordata; Aves; Anseriformes; Anatidae. The record is from RNAcentral.